This 497-nucleotide ribosomal RNA is filed under the name uncultured bacterium. RNAcentral's name for it is "partial 16S ribosomal RNA". It matches the Rfam family "Bacterial small subunit ribosomal RNA", at positions 28 to 507 of the family's 1533-position model. The record is from RNAcentral.
GAUGAACGCUGGCGGCGUGCCUAAUACAUGCAAGUCGAGCGAACGGACGAGAAGCUUGCUUCUCUGAUGUUAGCGGCGGACGGGUGAGUAACACGUGGAUAACCUACCUAUCAGACUGGGAUAACUUCGGGACACCGGAGCUAAUACCGGAUAAUAUUUUGAACCGCAUGGUUCACAAGUGAAAGACGGUCUUGCUGUCACUUAUAGCUGGAUCCGCGCUGCAUUAGCUAGUUGGUAAGGUAACGGCUUACCAAGGCAACGAUGCAUAGCCGACCUGAGAGGGUGAUCGGCCACACUGGAACUGAGACACGGUCCAGACUCCUACGAGAGGCAGCAGUAGGGAAUCUUCCGCAAUGGGCGAAAGCCUGACGGAGCAACGCCGCGUGAGUGAUUAAGGUCUUCGGAUCGUAAAACUCUGUUAUGAGGGAGGAACAUAUGUGUAAGUAACUGUGCACAUCUUGACGGUACCUAAUCAGAAAGCCACGGCUAACUACGUG